UGGGGAAUUUUGGACAAUGGGCGCAAGCCUGAUCCAGCCAUGCCGCGUGUCUGAAGAAGGCCUUCGGGUUGUAAAGGACUUUUGUCAGGGAAGAAAAGGCUGUCGCUAAUACCGACAGUUGAUGACGGUACCUGAAGAAUAAGCACCGGCUAACUACGUGCCAGCAGCCGCGGUAAUACGUAGGGUGCGAGCGUUAAUCGGAAUUACUGGGCGUAAAGCGGGCGCAGACGGUUACUUAAGCAGGAUGUGAAAUCCCCGGGCUCAACCUGGGAACUGCGUUCUGAACUGGGUGACUAGAGUGUGUCAGAGGGAGGUAGAAUUCCACGUGUAGCAGUGAAAUGCGUAGAGAUGUGGAGGAAUACCGAUGGCGAAGGCAGCCUCCUGGGAUAACACUGACGUUCAUGCCCGAAAGCGUGGGUAGCAAACAGGAUUAGAUACCCUGGUAGUCCACGCCCUAAACGAUGUCGAUUAGCUGUUGGGCAGCAUGACUGCUUAGUAGCGAAGCUAACGCGUGAAAUCGACCGCCUGGGGAGUACGGUCGCAAGAUUA
This 549-nucleotide ribosomal RNA is filed under the name uncultured bacterium. Its description in RNAcentral is "bacterial SSU rRNA". It matches the Rfam family "Bacterial small subunit ribosomal RNA", at positions 355 to 896 of the family's 1533-position model. The record is from RNAcentral.